This 214-nucleotide small nucleolar RNA is filed under the name Diabrotica virgifera virgifera (western corn rootworm). RNAcentral describes it as "small nucleolar RNA U3". It matches the Rfam family "Small nucleolar RNA U3". From Rfam's summary of the family: Small nucleolar RNAs (snoRNAs) are involved in the processing and modification of rRNA in the nucleolus. The record is from Rfam by way of RNAcentral. Lineage: Eukaryota; Metazoa; Arthropoda; Insecta; Coleoptera; Chrysomelidae.
AAGAUCAUACUUCACAGGAUCAUUUCUGUAGUAUAUCUUCACAUACUCUCUACUCAACUGUAGAGUUAUCGCAACCAUGAUGAGGAGACAAAGCGUCGUACUCUGAGCGUGAGGCAGACAUGUCGAAAAUCUUACGAUUUUUAACAUUGUCAACGAUGAUCGUUCACUUAUCAAUUCUGUUGAUAAGCAAUGGGUAUGAGGCAGUCUGAGUGGU